UAUCACAGAAAUGCCACUGUUGUAGAACCU
RNAcentral lists this non-coding RNA (30 nucleotides) under Rattus norvegicus (Norway rat). Lineage: Eukaryota; Metazoa; Chordata; Mammalia; Rodentia; Muridae. The record is from RNAcentral.